RNAcentral lists this ribosomal RNA (574 nucleotides) under Morchella exuberans. RNAcentral's name for it is "partial 28S ribosomal RNA". It matches the Rfam family "Eukaryotic large subunit ribosomal RNA", at positions 63 to 647 of the family's 3401-position model. The record is from RNAcentral. Lineage: Eukaryota; Fungi; Ascomycota; Pezizomycetes; Pezizales; Morchellaceae.
AACCAACAGGGAUUGCCUCAGUAACGGCGAGUGAAGCGGCAAAAGCUCAAAUUUUAAAGCUGGCAUCUUCGGUGUCCGCGUUGUAAUUUUGUGAGGCAUCUCCGGGUAGGGCGCCGGCCUAAGUUCCUUGGAACAGGACGUCACAGAGGGUGAGAAUCCCGUGCUUGGCUGGCUGUCCCCGUCCAUGUGAGGUGUCUUCGACGAGUCGAGUUGUUUGGGAAUGCAGCUCAAAAUGGGUGGUAAAUUUCAUCUAAAGCUAAAUAUUGGUGGGAGACCGAUAGCGCACAAGUAGAGUGAUCGAAAGAUGAAAAGCACUUUGAAAAUAGAGUUAAAAAGUACGUGAAAUUGUUGAAAGGGAAGCGCUUGAGACCAGACUUCGGUAGGGGGUGAUCAGCCGUCCUUCUGGGCGGUGCACUUGCCCCCCUCCGGGCCAGCAUCGGUUGAGGCGGCGGGAUAAAUGUCCCGGGAAUGUGGCUCCUUCACGGGAGUGUUAUAGCCCGGGUGAAUGCCGCCAGUCUCGACCGAGGACCGCAUCCGCAAGGGUUAGGAUGCUUGGCAUAAUGGUCUUCAGCGA